AUUCUACCCAUGUGGGGAAGGAUGAGAAGCUUCGACCAAGGUUCGAUUCGAGCGCAGCGAGAAAGCGUUGCCGCAGGCAACGGCCCGAAGGGCGAAGCGCGCAGCGCUGAGUCAUCCUUCCCCCACCACCA
This 131-nucleotide small RNA is filed under the name Salmonella enterica. Its description in RNAcentral is "RtT sRNA". It matches the Rfam family "RtT RNA". From Rfam's summary of the family: This family represents a bacterial cis-regulatory element known as RtT RNA. The exact function of RtT is unknown although it is thought that it may be involved in changing the cellular response in relation to amino acid starvation. Lineage: Bacteria; Pseudomonadati; Pseudomonadota; Gammaproteobacteria; Enterobacterales; Enterobacteriaceae. The record is from RNAcentral. RNAcentral also lists the same sequence under 3 other names.